This 813-nucleotide ribosomal RNA is filed under the name uncultured Prevotella sp. RNAcentral's name for it is "bacterial SSU rRNA". It matches the Rfam family "Bacterial small subunit ribosomal RNA", at positions 65 to 871 of the family's 1533-position model. The record is from RNAcentral. Lineage: Bacteria; Pseudomonadati; Bacteroidota; Bacteroidia; Bacteroidales; Prevotellaceae.
GGGGAAACGGCAUUGAGUGCUUGCACUCUUUGGACGUUGACCGGCGCACGGGUGAGUAACGCGUAUCCAACCUUCCCAUUACUGUGGGAUAACCUGCCGAAAGGCAGACUAAUACCGCAUAGUCUUCGAUGACGGCAUCAGAUUUGAAGUAAAGAUUUAUCGGUAAUGGAUGGGGAUGCGUCUGAUUAGCUUGUUGGCGGGGUAACGGCCCACCAAGGCGACGAUCAGUAGGGUUCUGAGAGGAAGGUCCCCCACAUUGGAACUGAGACACGGUCCAAACUCCUACGGGAGGCAGCAGUGAGGAAUAUUGGUCAAUGGACGGAAGUCUGAACCAGCCAAGUAGCGUGCAGGAUGACGGCCCUAUGGGUUGUAAACUGCUUUUGUAUGGGGAUAAAGUUAGGGACGUGUCCCUAUUUGCAGGUACCAUACGAAUAAGGACCGGCUAAUUCCGUGCCAGCAGCCGCGGUAAUACGGAAGGUCCAGGCGUUAUCCGGAUUUAUUGGGUUUAAAGGGAGCGUAGGCUGGAGAUUAAGUGUGUUGUGAAAUGUAGACGCUCAACGUCUGAAUUGCAGCGCAUACUGGUUUCCUUGAGUACGCACAACGUUGGCGGAAUUCGUCGUGUAGCGGUGAAAUGCUUAGAUAUGACGAAGAACUCCGAUUGCGAAGGCAGCUGACGGGAGCGCAACUGACGCUUAAGCUCGAAGGUGCGGGUAUCAAACAGGAUUAGAUACCCUGGUAGUCCGCACAGUAAACGAUGGAUGCCCGCUGUUGGUACCUGGUAUCAGCGGCUAAGCGAAAGCAUUAAGCAUCCCA